This 74-nucleotide transfer RNA is filed under the name marine bacterium AO1-C. It matches the Rfam family "tRNA". From Rfam's summary of the family: Transfer RNA (tRNA) molecules are approximately 80 nucleotides in length. Their secondary structure includes four short double-helical elements and three loops (D, anti-codon, and T loops). The record is from Rfam by way of RNAcentral. Lineage: Bacteria; Pseudomonadati; Bacteroidota; Cytophagia; Cytophagales; Cytophagaceae.
GUACCCUUAGCUUAAAUGGUGAAAGCACCUGGCUCAUACCCAGGGGAUUGAAGGUUCAAAUCCUUCAGGGUACA